GACGAACGCUGGCGGCGUGCCUAAUACAUGCAAGUUGAGCGCUGAAGGUUGGUACUUGUACCCACUGGAUGAGCAGCGAACGGGUGAGUAACGCGUGGGGAAUCUGCCUUUGAGCGGGGGACAACAUUUGGAAACGAAUGCUAAUACCGCAUAAAAACUUUAAACACAAGUUUUAAGUUUGAAAGAUGCAAUUGCAUCACUCAAAGAUGAUCCCGCGUUGUAUUAGCUAGUUGGUGAGGUAAAGGCUCACCAAGGCGAUGAUACAUAGCCGACCUGAGAGGGUGAUCGGCCACAUUGGGACUGAGACACGGCCCAAACUCCUACGGGAGGCAGCAGUAGGGAAUCUUCGGCAAUGGACGAAAGUCUGGCCGAGCAACGCCGCGUGAGUGAAGAAGGGUUUCGGAUCGUAAAAAUCUGUUGGUAGAGAAGAACGUUGGUGAGAGUGGAAAGCUCAUCAAGUGACGGUAACUACCCAGAAAGGGACGGCUAACUACGUG
Molecule: ribosomal RNA, 497 nt
Filed under: uncultured bacterium
Lineage: Bacteria
Description: partial 16S ribosomal RNA
Rfam family: Bacterial small subunit ribosomal RNA
Source: RNAcentral